CAGUGAAGUAUUCAACGGCCGCGGUAUCCUAACCGUGCAAAGGUAGCGUAAUCACUUGUCUUCUAAAUAGAGACCUGUAUGAACGGCUAAAUGAGGACUAAACUGUCUCCUUUAACUAAUCAGUGAAACUGAUCUACCAGUACAAAAGCUGGUAUACACACAUAAGACGAGAAGACCCUGUGGAGCUUUAAACCAAGAGCCAAACAAGACUACCAUUCCUAGUCCAUGACUAACAGUUUUAAGUUGGGGCGACUUCGGAACAAAACCAAACUUCCGAGCAUACAGAAAAUUAAUCUAACCAAGGCCAACAAGCCAAAGAACAAUUGACCCAGUAAUACUGAUCAUCGAACCAAGUUACCCCAGGGAUAACAGCGCCAUCUUCUUUAAGAGUCCAUAUCGACGAGAAGGUUUACGACCUCGAUGUUGGAUCAGGACACCCAAAUGGUGCAGCCGCUAUUAAAGGUUCGUUUGUUCAACGAUUAACAGUCCUACGUGAU
RNAcentral lists this ribosomal RNA (497 nucleotides) under Basiliscus vittatus (brown basilisk). RNAcentral describes it as "partial large subunit ribosomal RNA". It matches the Rfam family "Bacterial large subunit ribosomal RNA", at positions 1910 to 2604 of the family's 2925-position model. The record is from RNAcentral. Lineage: Eukaryota; Metazoa; Chordata; Lepidosauria; Squamata; Corytophanidae.